This 510-nucleotide ribosomal RNA is filed under the name uncultured archaeon. RNAcentral describes it as "bacterial SSU rRNA". It matches the Rfam family "Archaeal small subunit ribosomal RNA", at positions 345 to 828 of the family's 1478-position model. The record is from RNAcentral.
AACCUUCGCAAUGCGCGCAAGCGCGACGAGGUUAUUCCGAGUGAUUUCCGCUGAGGAAAUCUUUUCUCAGAUCUAAAAUGUCUGGGGAAUAAGGGGAGGGCAAGUCUGGUGUCAGCCGCCGCGGUAAUACCAGCUCCUCGAGUGGUCAGGGCGUUUAUUGGGCCUAAAGCAUCCGUAGCCGGCUCAGUAGGUCUCCUGUUAAAUCCAACGGCUCAACUGUUGGUCUGCAGGAGAUACCACUGGGCUAGGAGGCGGGAGAGGCGGACGGUACUCCGAGGGUAGGGGUAAAAUCCUUUGAUCCCCGGAAGACCACCAGUGGCGAAGGCGGUCCGCCAGAACGCGCUCGACGGUGAGGGAUGAAAGCUGGGGGAGCGAACCAGAUUAGAUACGCGGGUAGUCCCAGCUGUAAACGAUGCGAGCUAGAUGACACAAUGCCUUCGGGGCCUUGUGGUGCAAUAACCUCGCCGCUCUCGUCGCCAUUGGGAAAGUACCGCGCCUGCUGUACCCCGU